UGGGGAAUAUUGGGCAAUGGAGGAAACUCUGACCCAGCGACGCCGCGUGAGGGAUGAAGGCCUUCGGGUUGUAAACCUCUUUCAGUAGGGAAGAAGCGAAAGUGACGGUACCUACAGAAGAAGCACCGGCUAACUAUGUGCCAGCAGCCGCGGUAAUACAUAGGGUGCAAGCGUUGUCCGGAAUUAUUGGGCGUAAAGAGCUCGUAGGUGGUUCGAUACGUCGGAUGUGAAAAUCAGGGGCUCAACCCCUGACCUGCAUUCGAUACGGUCGAGCUAGAGUUUGGUAGGGGAGACUGGAAUUCCUGGUGUAGCGGUGGAAUGCGCAGAUAUCAGGAGGAACACCGAUGGCGAAGGCAGGUCUCUGGGCCAAUACUGACACUGAGGAGCGAAAGCGUGGGGA
Molecule: ribosomal RNA, 400 nt
Filed under: uncultured bacterium
Lineage: Bacteria
Description: bacterial SSU rRNA
Rfam family: Bacterial small subunit ribosomal RNA
Source: RNAcentral